CCUUACAGCGGUAGGUGAAGAUGCAUGACCGGUGAUCACCUGGUGAUUCUCUCUCUUGAGGGAGAGUCUUGAGGCCUUGAGGCCUCACCUGGAGUUCUGUGUCCAGUCCUGGGGUCCCCAGCGGAAGGCGUGGAACUGCUGGAACAGGUGCAGAGGAGACCAUGAAGAUACUCAGAAGGAUGGAGCACCUUUCCUAUGGAGGAAGGCUGAGGGAGCCGUGCUUGUUUGCCUGGAGAAGAGAAGGUUGGAGGUACUCAAGCUACACAUGCAAGCUGCAGUCUCAUGGAACACUUCCAAGAUGUCUAAUUCAUUGAUGUAAACUGAUCUAUAGACCACUCUGUGGGAGUAUACACUCAGUUUGGUUCUAAGAUCAAGUCCAUGUCUCGGAUCACCAAGAAGAAGACCAUAGAUCCCAAAGAGAAAAGGAAAGAAGCCAAAAAUCUUGAAUCUACAGCAUGACAGGUUCUGUGGCCAUGAUUAGAAAUGUUUCCAAUACAAAAUCUCAUUUUUUUUUUCAUCCUGGUUUAUUGAAAUAUAUUUAGUCUGUAAAUAGCUUCGAAUGUCUAUUCAUACUGUUCCAUCUUGCAUGAGAACAAAGCUAUUCUCUUCCUGCAAUUUAUAUUCUAUUUUCACUGCUUCUGUAAUUCUACAGAAUUUCAGAACUAUCUUCUGCAGCAACAUUUUGGAGAGUUUAUUUAUUCUUUUUAAUAUAUAGAUUUAUUUUUGCAGCAUUGAUAUUUCAGGUUGCCAUGGCUCCUGUUUUUGUGUCAGUGCCAUGACAGAAGCAGCUGACACUUCACUGCAAUUUUUCUUCCCUCUCGGCACAUUGACUAAUCAAUCCCAAUUAUGCCCCCAGAGUCUGCAUUGUUGUCUGCAUGGUUUAGCAGGAGCAGCAAGGUGUGAAAAGGGCUUUCCACAGUGGAGACAAAAAACACUUACCACUGGUGUUAAGACAGGAUAUGUGAAGCGUGAGGCUUCUUACGUUGAAAUCACUGUGCCCUAUCAGCAGGACGGUAGGAAGUUUAUGUUUUAUUGGUGGGAGAACCAAUAGUGCUGCAGUUGCCCCCAUCUGUUAUUUAGGCUAGUGCAAGAUCACCAAGGGAGGUGGGGUGGAGAAUUUUGUGCACUGUUGGUGUCCUGGCAACUUGAUAACCAAUUCCUGCAAUUCUGUGUUACAGAUUUGAUUUUCAAUGACAUUCUCCACUUUCAGUAAUUAGUUUAAAAUCUUAUCCAGUUUGUUUGGAUUGGUAUUAGAUGUUUAAAUACAGAGAAGUGAUAUUGAGAAUUAGAUGCUAACUGAGCAGAGAACUGCUGUUCAUACCAUUAAACCAUGGCAAUAAAAUCCAGAUUUUUGACAGUCUGUUCCACUUGGGCAAAGAAUGACAAAGGCUAGAGUGGGACCAUUGCAUCUUAGAGCAGGGUAUGUUUAAUUGCCCCCACUCUGAGGCAGUAGAAAGAUUUCCACAUAAUAGUUCCUAAUCUUUGUAAUUCCAUGGUUGAUUCUAGUGAUUACUUCAGAUUCCAACAUGAAUCAAAACAGGUGUGUAGGACAUUGUCUAUUAAUCACCAAAGAAUGGAAAUAAAAUAUGACUAUGUACUUGCCAGUUGU
This is a long non-coding RNA of Gallus gallus (chicken), 1609 nucleotides long. The record is from Ensembl. Lineage: Eukaryota; Metazoa; Chordata; Aves; Galliformes; Phasianidae.